UAUGGGUAUGCCGAAAACCAUCAGAAAAGAGUAGGCA
Molecule: non-coding RNA, 37 nt
Organism: Chitinophaga pinensis DSM 2588
Lineage: Bacteria; Pseudomonadati; Bacteroidota; Chitinophagia; Chitinophagales; Chitinophagaceae
Source: Rfam